GGAGAGCUGGCAGAGUGGUCGAUCGUGGCAGUCUCGAAAACUGUUGUACCGCAAGGUACCGGGGGUUCGAAUCCCUCGCUCUCCG
RNAcentral lists this transfer RNA (85 nucleotides) under Bacteroidales bacterium. Its description in RNAcentral is "tRNA-Ser". It matches the Rfam family "tRNA". Rfam says of the family: Transfer RNA (tRNA) molecules are approximately 80 nucleotides in length. Their secondary structure includes four short double-helical elements and three loops (D, anti-codon, and T loops). Lineage: Bacteria; Pseudomonadati; Bacteroidota; Bacteroidia; Bacteroidales. RNAcentral also lists the same sequence under 1 other name. The record is from RNAcentral.